GCGAUAUCAAGGUAGUAGCUUUUUACGCUUCAAACCUCAAAUAUGUCGACUGAGCUGCUCCUCCUGGUCGCCACUUUGGCGAUCGUUUUCUAUAUUUGGCAGAGGCGAGCCUUCAGCUUCUGGCAGCGCCAUGGAGUCAAGUACAUUCGACCCCUGCCCUUUCUGGGCUGCACCCGAGAGUUCCUAACGGCCCGAGUUCCAUUCUUCGAGCAAAUAAAAAAGUUCCAUGAGGCCCCCGGCUUCGAAAAGGAGCCCUUUGUGGGCGUCUAUUUGGCCUACAAGCCGGCCCUGGUCGUUCGCGACCUAGACCUGAUAAAGACGGUGAUGAUCAAGAAGUUCCAGUACUUCCACAACCGCGUCCUGCAAACGGAUCCGCACAACGAUGCCCUCGGCUUCAACAAUCUCUUCUUCGCCCGCAGCCCAGAGUGGAAGGAGCUGCGCCACAAGAUCUCCCCCGUGUUCACUUCUGGGAAGAUUAAGCAGAUGUAUCCUCUAAUGGUCAAGAUCGGCAAGGACCUUGAGAGCAGUGCCGAGAGACUGGCCGGUGCGUCACCGGUUCCGAUUAAGGAUCUGUGCGCCCGCUUCACCACCGACCUGAUUGCUACCAUUGCCUUCGGCGUGGAGGCCAACGCGUUAAAGGAUGCGAAGAGCGAGUUCUUCUACCACAACCAGGCCAUCUUUGCUUUGACAUGGAGCAGGGCCAUCGACUUCACCAUUAUCUUUAUGCUGCCUGCCCUGGUGUCCAUUGCACGUGUGAAGCUCUUCUCAAAGGAGACCACCAAGUUCAUCAGGAACACCAUCAACUACGUCCUGUCCGAGCGCGAACGGACGGGCGUUAAGAGAAACGACCUCGUGGACAUUCUGCUGGCUCUGAAGAGGGAGGCGGAAGCUAACCCCGAUCAGCUCCAAAAGUACAAGGACCUGGACUACCUCGUAGCCCAAGCCGCUGUCUUUCAAACGGCUGGGUUCGAGACGAGCUCAUCAACCAUGACUCUGACUCUAUACCACCUCGCCCAAAACGAGUCCCUGCAGGACCGCCUGUGUCAGGAAAUUACCGAAUACCUCGGAGACGAGGAUCACGUCAGCUACGAUCGCAUCCAGCAGAUGCCCUACCUUUCGCAGGUGGUGAAUGAGACAUUGCGAAUGUACCCCAUCGUUGGAUAUGCUGAGCGACAAUGUGCUCAGCCCGCGGAGGGCGAAAAGUUCACCCUGGAGCCGCACAGCUCCAUGGAACUACCGCACGGCAUGGCCGUAUAUGUGUCCGCCAUUGCCAUCCAUCAUGAUCCGCAGUACUGGCCGGAGCCGGAAAAGUUCGACCCGGACCGUUUCGACCCCGCCAAUCGCAGCAACCUGAACAUGGACGCAUACAUGCCCUUCGGCGUGGGUCCGCGCAACUGCAUUGGAAUGCGUCUGGGCCUUCUGCAGUCGAAACUGGGUCUGGUGCACCUGUUGCGCCACCACCGGGUCCACGCGACCGACCAGACCCCGAAGAAAAUUGAGUGGGCAGCCACUAGUCCGCUGAUCGCCUCGAAGCACGAAAUAUAUUUGCGGCUGGAAAAGGUGUCUAGUUAGAGGAUAGCCGGAAGAUUUGAACUCGGAUGCACAAUCCGGGAUGAGUGUAGAUGGUUUCCAAACCCAGGGAACCAGACUAGUAGGAGGUGUUCGAUCUCCAAAGUCCAUCUUAAGGCCCAUCGGAUGUUCUGCAAGAGCAAAAAUGCCAUGGCUUCAAAUAAAACUAGUAACUAGGCAGGGGAA
Molecule: RNA transcript, 1755 nt
Organism: Drosophila ananassae
Lineage: Eukaryota; Metazoa; Arthropoda; Insecta; Diptera; Drosophilidae
Gene: Cyp6w1
Gene name: probable cytochrome P450 6w1
Exons: 3
Source: RefSeq, a predicted model, not a curated record